Molecule: ribosomal RNA, 253 nt
Filed under: uncultured bacterium
Lineage: Bacteria
Description: partial 16S ribosomal RNA
Rfam family: Bacterial small subunit ribosomal RNA
Source: RNAcentral
UACGUAGGGUGCAAGCGUUGUCCGGAAUUAUUGGGCGUAAAGAGCUCGUAGGCGGCUAGUCGCGUCGGCUGUGAAAACCUGGGGCUCAACCCCGGGCCUGCAGACGAUACGGGCUAGCUAGAAUUCGGUAGGGGAGACUGGAAUUCCUGGUGUAGCGGUGAAAUGCGCAGAUAUCAGGAGGAACACCGGUGGCGAAGGCGGGUCUCUGGGCCGAUAUUGACGCUCAUGCACGAAAGCGUGGGGAGCAAACAGG